Molecule: ribosomal RNA, 476 nt
Filed under: Centrophasma longipennis
Lineage: Eukaryota; Metazoa; Arthropoda; Insecta; Phasmatodea; Lonchodidae
Description: partial large subunit ribosomal RNA
Rfam family: Bacterial large subunit ribosomal RNA
Source: RNAcentral
UAAUUUAAUGGCCGCGGUAUUUUGACCGUGCAAAGGUAGCAUAAUCAUUAGUUUAUUAAUUGUGAACUUGUAUGAAUGGUUUUACGAAACAUUAGCUGUCUCAUAUUUAAUAUUAUAAUUUAAAUUUUGAGUUAAAAUGCUUAAAUUUUUUUAUAGGACGAGAAGACCCUAUAGAUCUUUAUUAUAGUUUUAAUUAAUUUAUUUGGAUUUUUUUUUAUUUAUUAUUAUUAUUGUUUUAUUGGGGUGAUAUUGAGAUAUAUAAAACUCUUAAUUUAUUUAAACAUUUAUUUAUGUUUAUUUGACCUUUUAUUAAUGUUAAAAGAUUUAGAUACCUUAGGGAUAACAGCGUAAUUUUUUUUGAGAGUUCAUAUCGAUGAAGGAGAUUGCGACCUCGAUGUUGGAUUAAGAAUAAUGUUAGGUGUAGUUGCUUAAUUUUUGAGUCUGUUCGACUUUUAAAUUCUUACAUGAUCUGAGUU